AGUGAACGCUGGCGGUAGGCCUAACACAUGCAAGUCGAACGGCAACACAGUAAGAGCUUGCUCUUACGGGUGGCGAGUGGCGGACGGGUGAGGAAUACAUCGGAAUCUACUUUUUCGUGGGGGAUAACGUAGGGAAACUUACGCUAAUACCGCAUACGACCUACGGGUGAAAGCAGGGGAUCUUCGGACCUUGCGCGAUUGAAUGAGCCGAUGUCGGAUUAGCUAGUUGGCGGGGUAAAGGCCCACCAAGGCGACGAUCCGUAGCUGGUCUGAGAGGAUGAUCAGCCACACUGGAACUGAGACACGGUCCAGACUCCUACGGGAGGCAGCAGUGGGGAAUAUUGGACAAUGGGCGCAAGCCUGAUCCAGCCAUACCGCGUGGGUGAAGAAGGCCUUCGGGUUGUAAAGCCCUUUUGUUGGGAAAGAAAAGCAGCAGGUUAAUACCCCGCUGUUCUGACGGUACCCAAAGAAUAAGCACCGGCUAACCUCGUG
RNAcentral lists this ribosomal RNA (492 nucleotides) under uncultured bacterium. RNAcentral's name for it is "partial 16S ribosomal RNA". It matches the Rfam family "Bacterial small subunit ribosomal RNA", at positions 29 to 507 of the family's 1533-position model. The record is from RNAcentral.